GUCUAUAUGAAGUUACAUAAAGUCUAGCCUGCCCAUUGAAUGUAAUUUAAAAGGCCGCAGUAAUUUGACUGUGCAAAGGUAGCAUAAUAAUUAGUUUUUUAAUUGAAGGCUUGUAUGAAUGGUUGGACAAAGAAAAAUCUGUCUUUUAUAUUAUAAUUGAAUUUUACAUUUAAGUGAAAAGGCUUAAAUAAAUUUAAGGGACGAUAAGACCCUAUAAAUCUUUACAUAGAAUAAAAUUUUUAUAAGAAAUAAAAUUUAAUAAUGUUACGUUGGGGCAACGAAAAUAUAUAAAUUAACUGUUUUUUAAAAAAUACAUUAAUAUUUGAAUGAUUUUACGAUCCUUUAAAAAGAUUAAAAGUUAAAGUUACUUUAGGGAUAACAGCGUUAUUUUUUUUAAAAGUUCAUAUUGAAAAAAAAGUUUGCGACCUCGAUGUUGAAUUAAAAUUUCUUUGUGGUGCAGAAGCUAUGAAAGAAAGUCUGUUCGACUUUUAAAAUUUU
Molecule: ribosomal RNA, 498 nt
Filed under: Janetogalathea californiensis
Lineage: Eukaryota; Metazoa; Arthropoda; Malacostraca; Decapoda; Galatheidae
Description: partial large subunit ribosomal RNA
Rfam family: Bacterial large subunit ribosomal RNA
Source: RNAcentral